Molecule: non-coding RNA, 4101 nt
Organism: Meleagris gallopavo (turkey)
Lineage: Eukaryota; Metazoa; Chordata; Aves; Galliformes; Phasianidae
Source: RefSeq, a predicted model, not a curated record
UAUUCCCUUGGUUUGCUUUUAGAAAUGUUAAAUGAAGUGUUUCAAUGUAGACAAAACCUUGGAGGAAUGUUCAAGCUUACAUUUAACUCUUUUAAAAUGAGGCCUGAUGAUUUUUUCUAGUAUAUAGCUUUCCCGACCUUUGCUGGUAGGGCUGAAAUUUGGUUUGUUUAUGUAGUUAGUUUUCCUUAAGCUCCUGAAUUCUUUGCAGGGGAAAAUCUGCUUAGUUAAAGCAGUUUAAACCAAAACAGAGAUUGAAGCCGUUUAUUGCUAUAAACUAACAAGACCUAAUUAACCAGCAGUCAAUGAAAUGCACAUUCAAGAUUCAAAUCAUUACUACAACAGGUAAUGUUUUGUCAGUGCAUAGUGUUAUGGUUUAAUGAACAAAUUUAUUCUGUGACUAAUCUCAAGGAGUUUAAAAAAUACAUGUGCAUGACCACAGCUACAGGCAGCCCACCCCCACUCUGAAGGACACGUGGAUUACAAAAAACGCCUCUUUUUUCCAAGUGUGGCUCCCUGCCUGUACACAAUGCUUUUGGGAGAGGAGGGGUCUCAGCUUGGUGUGAAGCUGCUGAUUCACAUGGCAGUUAGAGAAGCACGCGACAUCUUCACAUGCAUGCAGCUGAUAGGGGUAAGAUGCUGCACCCUAUGGAUAGCAUACUGCACUAACAGUCCCCUGGCUGGCUGCAGCCUUUAUGAUGUGUUCCAGGAGUAUGCUCUGUCUUGGUCUUGGCUGAAGUCGUGAUGCUGGUGGUGACUUACAGCAGCGUGAAACUAAGUUUGGAUUCCAAACAUGUCUCCUCAGCUGUCCCCCAGAGAUGUCAUGCUGCUUUUGUGCUUCUUUUUAGGCUGACACCUUCUUUGUUUCAGAAGUCUCUUGGAACAUUCCUGGUUGCUGUUUCAUCUGGCCAAUGUUGCUUUCUUCCUUAUUUUGGGCAAAUGUCCUCAGUCUGGUCUACUAUGCACACAAACACCUGCACCCUUCUUAGGUCCAAGUUUUUAUCCUAAUGCUUGUUAGCAAAGUGCUUUUGGCAAGGAGAGGGGACUGUCCUGGUACACCACACUAAAGAACUCGUAGGGUAAAAUUUGCUGCAUCUAUUUGACUGAAAUAAGCUAUGGUAGCAAAAUACACUUUUGAUAUUUCACUGUCCGGAUUCCAUCUCUUUUCCUUUCACUCUUUAACACUGACUGUAUAAUUCGGUCUCAAAAAUCUUUUAUAUAUAUGAAAGUAGUAGUAAAGUAAUUACAUAAGUAGUAAAUGUUUUGACUCUGUAUCAUAACCUUGUCUUCCUCUUUCAGUAACAGAUCUACAUUCUCUUCUUUCUGUCACUUGUUAUGUAUUUAUAAAAACUUUCUACAUGUUGGUGUCAAUGGCCUUUUUUAGUUAAAACUCAUUUUUGUUUUCUAGUCUUAGAUUUCUGUUCAUGCAUGCUUUGUGCUGUUUACUCUUACUUCACUUUAGUAUGCAUCUGUUUCCAUAUUUCCUAUUGCUUUUUGGUUUUCAGAUCAUUAAAGAACUCUAGAUGAAGCCAUAUCAGGACCUUACCAUGCUUCCUAUCAUUGUUCCACAUCACGAUGGUUUGUCACUGUGUCAUUUAAUGCUGUCUUUUAGUAACUACUGCUUUUCUUGGAAUCCUUUUUCCCUUCGUCCUUCUAGAACUCCUCACCAUAGGUCCUUGCUUAGUAAUUCAAAGUUUCUGUUUUUAAAGAGUUCAGCAUUCACCUUAUUUGAUAUCCUCACAUUCCUCAAGUCAUUCAUCGUCAUGCUCAAAACUGCCCUACACGCUUGUGUGCAAUUACAGUAUCUCUGUUACUCAGAAUUGAAGGAGUUGUUACUUUUCCCCUUUGCCCAUAAGUGACUUUCAUUUUAUGAAAAAUAUUUAUCAGACUCACUGCAAGAGUUUGAUAGUUUCUGGCUUCUGAUGCAGCUUUUCAAACACAUUUUUAGAUGACUUAAGAUCUCUUGUUGAUACUGACGCCUGUCUUUGGAUGCUUCUGUGCAACUUUGCUAUAAAUAAGUACCAUAAAGGGUGCCAUUGAGCAUAGAUAGCACUGAAGGUUUAAAUCUGCAGCUGUGAGCAGCUUUAGGCAUUUUCUGUAAGUCUUAAUGUAGGGGCAUUAUUUUUAAAUAACAGUAAACUGCAAUUGUACGGCAAAGAAUACAUUAGAGGUGAGCCUGCUAAAAGUAUGAAGGUAUAAAUGAUAACUGGGAAGGUUUGUUAGCAAUCUGUCUCAUGUUGUUUGUCUUGAUUUGUCUUUCAUUUGCUAGAGUAUGCUACGAGCGAGCCACCUUCAGUCCAACAAUCCAGACAUUCAUCCUUUCUGCCAUUUGGCAUGGGGUUUACCCAGGAUAUUACUUAACAUUUUUAACAGGAGUACUAAUGACACUAGCAGCACGAGCUAUUAGAAACAAUAUCAGACACUAUUUUGUUGACUCUCCUGCUGUUAAACUAUGUUAUGAUAUUAUAACAUGGAUGACAACACAAGUAGCAAUAAGUUACACAGUUGUGCCAUUUGUACUGCUUUCUGUGAAACCCUCCUUCACCUUUUACAGCUCCUGCUAUUUCUGUCUUCAUAUCGCCAGCAUCCUGGUGUUGUUGGUAUUUCCAUUGAAAAGAACUCAAAAAGGAAAUAAAAAGCAUGAAAGCAUCCAGCCAGUGUGGUCCAAAAAACUAGAAGAAGAAAAUCUUUUGCAAAAGAACAGUUAUUCCACAACAAAUAAUAGUUUCAGUCAGAAAGAAGAAAUAACCUGCAGAUAUCAAGCACUAAAGCAGUGAUUGAGGAAAAUUAUAAUCAAUAUAUUUUGUAUGUUUUCAGAAACCCAUUUUUAGCACCUUUUAAAGGGGUUUGUAUUUGUUUGCAAAGAUGUUUAGUAUGAAAAGAAUGCAUUACCUAGGAAAAUCACAUACAAUAGCAAGACUGGAAACAAAACAGAUUAACCCCUCCCAUGCCAUGUCCCGGUGGGUCACGCCUUAUAUGAAGAUAUUACCAUUAUUUCAAUGGGCACUCAGGACUUGCAACGUAUGUCCAUAGGGUCAUAUGUGUGCCCUCUGCUGAAUGUACGUUGUGUAUCCCAAGGCACUGAUGGGGUGAAAUGAAAUCGUGUCAAUCUAGGAUUAACAAAUGGAAAUUAAUUUUUCCAAAUGAAUGACUUGCCUUAAACCCUCUAUUUACUGAAACACUGUUUCUAAGUGGUAUUUUCAAGUCUGAUUUUGUGGAAAGUAUUUCAAAUAUUUAAUACUAUAUGCUAUAAAGAAGAUACAAAUAUGAAAUGCAAAGUCAUUGGAAGGUUUUUGAACCUCUUCUCUAAAAGGGAAUUGCAAUAAGCAUCUCAGUAUUUGGAGGGUUUUCUUAAAGUAUCUCAAACAAUUACAGUACAUUAUGGAACUGUAAACAUUACUGAUGCCAAAUUAUAGUUAGGUUUCUGUGACAGAAUCUAAUAAAGCAUAGCCCUUCUGAACAGAUUAAAAAAAAAAAUCAUCUUAAGGUUCACCUUUUCCAGGGCUUCACAGCUCUAACUUAGGUUUCCUUUAAUUUCAAGUACAUAAAAACAACAAAAAACAUCACUGAGUGGGCUUUGCAGUUAGAGAAGGAAAGGCAGCCAAAGGAUGCUGAAGACAAUGUGCAAGCACCAGAACUUCAAUGGAAACUUGUUUUACCCUUAAAUACCAGAAAUAUUUGUUCAAGAAUAUAAUUAUUUUACCAAAAAAGAGGUUUUAGUACUUAAAGUAAUUUUGAAUUUUAAGGCAUACAGUAGUUGAUGAUGCUAGCAGUGAUUGACUUGAGAUCUAGUUCAUAAUCAACUAUGAAAUCACCAUGAUGAACAAGAUCUGUAUGCUUGAUCAUUGAUUUCCCUUUAUGCAAAGUGUAUGAACUGGGGGAAAAGAUUUAUCUUUAGAUUAGUAUUUUAGAUGCAGGUUUCGCAUGGCACUUGUAGGUAAAAUAAUGAAAGAAAGAAAUGCGUGAGAAUAUCUAACCGACUGAAUCAUGGCAGAAAGUGAAGGGAAUGAUGCAUUGGUUCUAUCUGCUCCAGACCAUUUGUUGAGAUGAUGGUCACUGCUGUUUCAAAGGGCUACAUUUUAAUUGUUUGUAUCCUGUGUUACC